CCCAGACUCCUACGGGAGGCAGCAGUGGGGGAUAUUGCACAAUGGGGGAAACCCUGAUGCAGCGACGCCGCGUGGGUGAAGAAGCGCCUCGGCGCGUAAAGCCCUGUCAGCAGGGAAGAAAAUGACGGUACCUGAAGAAGAAGCCCCGGCUAACUACGUGCCAGCAGCCGCGGUAAUACGUAGGGGGCAAGCGUUAUCCGGAUUUACUGGGUGUAAAGGGAGCGUAGACGGUGAUGCAAGUCAGAAGUGAAAGCCCGGGGCUCAACUCCGGGACUGCUUUUGAAACUGUGUAACUGGAGUGCAGGAGAGGUAAGCGGAAUUCCUGGUGUAGCGGUGAAAUGCGUAGAUAUCAGGAGGAACACCAGUGGCGAAGGCGGCUUACUGGACUGUAACUGACGUUGAGGCUCGAAAGCGUGGGGAGCAAACAGGAUUAGAUACCCUCGUA
RNAcentral lists this ribosomal RNA (445 nucleotides) under uncultured bacterium. RNAcentral describes it as "bacterial SSU rRNA". It matches the Rfam family "Bacterial small subunit ribosomal RNA", at positions 330 to 792 of the family's 1533-position model. The record is from RNAcentral.